This 507-nucleotide ribosomal RNA is filed under the name uncultured bacterium. RNAcentral describes it as "bacterial SSU rRNA". It matches the Rfam family "Bacterial small subunit ribosomal RNA", at positions 14 to 518 of the family's 1533-position model. The record is from RNAcentral.
CGAUUCUGGCUCAGGAUGAACGCUAGCGGCAGGCUAACACAUGCAAGUCGAGGGGCAGCGCGUCGUAGCAAUACGAUGGCGGCGACCGGCGCAAGGGUGCGUAACGCGUGAGCAAUCUGCCCGUAUCAGGGGGAUAAGCGAUGGAAACGUCGUCUAAUACCGCAUAACAACAACCAUGGCAUCAUGGAUGUUUGAAAGCUUCGGUGGAUACGGGUGAGCUCGCGAGACAUUAGUUAGUUGGCGGGUAACGGCCCACCAAGACCGCGAUGUCUAGGGGAACUGAGAGGUUGGUCCCCCACACUGGAACUGAGACACGGUCCAGACUCCUACGGGAGGCAGCAGUGAGGAAUAUUGGACAAUGGUCGGAAGACUGAUCCAGCCAUGCCGCGUGAAGGAUAAGGUCCUAUGGAUUGUAAACUUCUUUUGUAUGGGAGCAAUAAGGCCUACGUGUAGGUUGAUGAGAGUACCAUACGAAUAAGCACCGGCUAACUCCGUGCCAGCCGCCGC